AGGUAAUAUCUUUUAUUGGACCAACUUCUUUUGAUGAGAGAGACAAGCUUUUGAGGUACACAGAGCUCUUUUUCAGGUCAUACAUGGUACAUAGAACAAAUCCUGUUUCCAAAAGGUCAGUGAACCACAGUCAAUAUUAUGGGGGAGUUCUCUGCCUUGAUCCAUUCUUUGUGCUCCUUAGGCAGCACAUAGAGAGAGGAGGCUAUUCACAAGUCCCCAGCUGGCAACAUGUUUCCAUAUGCGGUAUGAGCACCUUUCUGAGCCUAUCACCAUCUUGCCCCAACCUGUCAGUACCAAUGGCUAAUUGGGGAGAGGCAGGAGCAAGAGGAGCCACCACCGUGGUCAGAGUCCUUUCCCCAUUUCCGGGGAGUGGCAGCAGCAAAAACCAAAGGGUGUGUUCAGAAGGAACAGGUCUAGGAGCUGUUUUAGCAGCCACAAAAGAGCUCCUGGUGCCUGCCUGCAGUAAUUGAGGAGUACCACAGCACCUCCUGAAUUCCAUAGGAAUAGUAGCAACAGACCAGGACAAGAAGAGCACCACAAGUGAGGGAACUGAGGUGUCAGUGUACCUCAGCAAGGAACCCAAGUGGCAGCAUCACUUCAUUUUUCAUUUGGUUUAGAUGUUACCCUUUCCGCAGCCAGUGGGGCAGAGGUGGGUUGGGUGAGGACAGGGAACGGUUAGAGUGUAUGGUAGAUUGGGGACCUUAGCUAGCUGUCCCAAAUUAGAGCAGUUCUCAGACUGCUCCUAUGGAUCCAGAGAAUAUAGAGGGUAAAGUAUAGCCAGAACAAACCAAAUUCUGGUCACAAGUAACACCUCUGAAGUUAAUGAAAUUUCAUGGAAAUAACAGCAAAAUCUGCCACCAAAAGGGAUGGGCUAGGAUAAAAGGACCUAGACUAUAGUUUUCUUUGGGCCUAGAAAAUGUCAUGAUGGUUCUUGUUGUAACUAAUGACUUUUUAGCUGCCUAAAAUCCCUGUGGAUUUCCCCUGCUACGAUUAAAAAGUAACUAGUUGUUUGUUGGUUACUAAGGUAAAUGAUUAGGGGAUGGGGAUUAACUCUAUGAUGUUCAAAGACAAUCCUGGGAACCUGCCUUUCUCAAAGGAAGAUCUAUUCAGCUAAGGAAGGAGUAAUUUGGGAGCAGCAGAGAAACAAUGGGAAAGCCUUUAUAUAUAUCAUAAUGGCAUUCCAAAAAUGUGUCCUGAAAUGAAUAUUUCCUAUUUGGGAGCAGAACAUUAUAUGCCAUGUACAUAUUUGGAGGCAUUUUGCUUUGUUUUCCCCCACUAAUGUCUUAAACUAUAAGCCAAUAUUAGAACAAGGCCUCCCUUUUUCCUCUAUAAGUUCAGGAUCUGACAGCCUUUCCAAGACAAAUCGUUAGUGGUUUCAAUCCAGUUAUGGAGAUUCACGAUAGGUUUGUGACUUUGCACAUGUUCAGUCACACAGCUCAUUAACAUUUUCAAAAUUAGGAAGAAAAAGCGAUUUACAUUAGUUAUAAAUGUGUUUUUAAUUGUUUUGAAUGCUUAACUUGAAAAGUUUGUUUUUAGGAUAUAGUUUUGCAAAUAAUUAGUAAUUAGUCUGCUGAGUUAAAGCUCAGACUCUCUGCUGAAUCUUAAGUUUUGAUUCACAUUGUGAUGUUUUCUUUUUUCUGUAUCAUAUUUUAGAAUGGUCAGUUUGUAAAUGAUCCAGUGCUUAAUCUUGAAAAACAUACAUCAUCCUUAUCUGUAGAUGAUCCACAAUAUAGCCUUAAUAGUGGCUUACCAUUUGAGCCCAUAGUAAGAAACUCUGAAGCCCAUCACCCCAGCAGUAACUCCUAAAAGUAUCAUGUAAGGGUGACACCUCCUGCCACGAUGUUUAAUGUGAAAAAGUAUGCAGAUGAUUUGGUAAGAUGCUUAUUUGGAAACAAAAGUUUAUCUAGAGUGAGAAUUGCACCAGCUUAAUUAAACUGGUGCAACCCUCUGUACGCACGGUGUUUUGUUUUUUUUUUAAAGUUUUAGUGGCUUAUAUUGGUUUACAUUAGUUUAAUUGGGAACAGGUUUAAAUUAAACCAAAAUCCGCCAUUCUUAAACCAAAAUACAUGUUCACAUAGGGGUUUUCACUGGUUUAAGUAAACCAGUUUCAGUUAAACUGGUGCAAAUUUGGCUGCGUACAAGUCCUAAGAUGUAAAAUACAUAUAAAAAAAUUUGGAAUCUAAACUGUUUAUUCAAAGGAGUGAAUACAAUAGUGAAUGACUCUGGCCAUGGCAUGAGACCCAGGCAGUAAAACCCUCACUCUGCAGAACACCAAGGUAUACCUGCUUAGCCAUUAACAUGCCUACAGAACAAUGCCAGCUGACUAGGCGCAUGGCAAACUGAGAACACUGCCCCUCAUCUGCUUGUUACACCUACGAUCAAAACACAAGUAGUGGUAUGCAAAAACAUCAUGUUACUGUUUCCUUGUCCUUCCUCACACACUCCCUGCUUUGUUUGUUUCAUCCAGCUGUUGUAGCUUGUCUUUAAAAUUGUAUGUUCUUUGGGGCAGGGACUUCUUUUACUAGAUAGCUGUAUCCAUAUAGCACACAGUACGAGAGGUUCCCAACCUGGUAGAGGCCUUUAGGCAAUACUGUAUUACAGAUAAAUUAAUCAAUACAGAUGUCAUUUGGGCUUGGUGUUGCAUAUGAUAAUAGGUCAGGAACAUCAAAGAAAUCUGAAAAGGAAAGCAAAAUUGCAAAACAGGUGGGAGAUGUAUCAUGCCCACCCAGAGACCAGAGGGCUGGGUCUCAGACUGGAACAGAACAGGGAGAAAAAGACUAGCCAGGGAAGGAGAAAAUGUUUAUAAAUGUAAGAUUGUGAUUCUUAAUUAAAACAACAUGGAUUGGACUGAUCUUAAUUAGCUUCCGCAGCGUCAGGCUGGACAUGUCAUGCAAACAGUUUAUUUUGCACAGUCUGAUUUUAUCUCUUUUUUCAACAAAUUUUGUUUUUCCACAAUUCAGGUGGUUUAAGAUUGGUAUUUGAGAAAUUGAUGCAAACUACGCUGGGCAGGGUUAGAAACCUUUAACCUCCAAAAUGAGGUAAGGAAGAAAGGGUUGUUGGAGCCCACCUUUCUCUGAAUUUGUGGUCAAAAGGGUCCUCUCCUCUAAGGAGUGUUAAUAUUAAAACUGCAGGCCUCCAGACACGUAGGAAACGCCUAAUGACCACAGAUAAGAACUGAGUUUAAGGGGCAUAGAUCACAAUUACCCAACUGGGAAUUUACCCAGAUACUGUUUUUAUGUCUCAUCUGAAAGGCAAGACAGUGAUCCAAAACGAAUUGGCCAUUGGUUUGAUACUGAUUCAAUGGAGGAGUGUCAUCUAUAGAAUCACCAACACCACUUCCCGCAUAACCCUGGAUGUUCCUUGGAAAUCCAGCUUACUGCCAUCAAGUACUGAACAGUCCAACCCUAAAGUUACAUAUUAACUGGAGUGGAUUUGUGGGGACACCUUAUGGUCAGUUUGGAAAACUACAUGCCUUUAUUCACAAAGGUGUGAAAUCCAGUUCUGUGUAGAUGGCCACUCCAAGGCCUUUGAACCAUUCAAGUUCAUUUCCAGAUAGGCCCAAUGCUGAGGAACAGGUCUGGUGUGUGGAGGGAGAUGGGUUCAGUGUAUACUGUUGUGCAACAGAGGAAGUUAUCACUUGUUUAAUAGUAAUAGUAGUAAAUAUGGUAAUACUCAAGGGUGCAAUUGGGAUUGAGGCCCUAUGGUGCUGGGCUCUGUAUGAUCACAAAAAAAGAAACAAUCCCUGCCCUGAAAGGUUUACGAUCUAAAGAUUUAGUGCUUACAGUAUGCUGGGAAAAGUACAAUUAACUAAAGAGGCAUUGAGUCAGAAAAACAGUGAAGCAGUAUCUACAGAAAUAGGAAGGAGAAAUAGGAGGAGGUAUUAGCUUACAUGGUUUUUGCUCGUUCUCCACCUGUUUUCUUAGAACGUUCACAAAAACAGCAAAAGAUUGACUGAUUUCCUAAUUAAGGGCCCAAUUAUUCUGUCAGCUACACUGGUGUAAAUCCUGAGUAAUUCCUUUAGCUUCAGCAUGUUACUUUAAAUUUACAUUAAUGUAUUUGAGAAAAGAAUUUGGCUCUAAAAAGGACAGACAGGAAAUGCCUUUGAUGGUCAUCAGCCGAAUCAGGUUUUAUUGGCAUGACAAGUUGUUUGAGUGUUGCCAAAGUGUAAGAAAAAGACAGGCCAUCAAUCAUCUGUCAGAGGCAGGUAUGAGCCAUCCAGAAUAGAGUUACACACUGGGUUUGGGAUUAUUACAGUCCAUUCCUGAUCUUGUAGCAAGUUGCUGUAACAUGAAGUCAAAAUAGAAUAUCAUUUGGUGAUGAGCACUGGGAGGAUAUGUCAAUAUGAAAAUAUAUGAAGAGAAUAUGUAAAUUGACGAAGAGAAUAUAUUAACUAAGGAUCCAAACCUGCAGACCUUUCAAGGCCGUGUCUACACGACAGUGGCACAGUACAGCACUGCAGCUGUGCUGCUGUAGCACCCUAAUGUAGAUGCUCCCUGCAUCGACUGAAGGUUUUUUUCUGUCAAUGUAAUUAAUCCAUCUCUCUGUGAAGCAGUAGGUAGGUCAACAGAAGAAUUCUUCCAUGAACCAAGCUGCAUCCACACUGAGGGUUAGGCUGACCUAACUGUGGUACUUGAUGCAACAUUUUUCACAGCACUGAGUGACGAUUAUCUCAUUUUUAAGUGUGGUAUAGGCCAAAGAAAACUAUUUUGGGCCUGAUCCUGCAUUCCUUUUGCAUCCAAAACUCAUUGAUUUUGUGGUAUUCUGAAAAUUGUGUUAAAAUUGUGAUCUAGCACUUUACAUUCCCAGGGGUUUUGCUAGGGCUCUGUAGGGAAGCAUGUGAUCAGAUUCACUCUGUGUGUAGCCAGCCAGCGUAAAGUGACAAACAAGGUCAGAGUGAGCUGUGCCUCUGCAUUUUAGGGAGCAGCCUGCUUUCUCUCUCUCUGAUUUUGGAUUCUUAUUUGUUAUUGUUCUGAAUUCUAAGAAUAAAGUAGUGUUUGUUGCAAACUUCAAGCAAGAGUAUUUUAUGUUUUUAUCUAACUUCUGUGUGUGUAUGCUGCAAAACAACAGAUUUCACUGUCUCCUCCUUCUCUUGACUUCAUUGGAAUGCUCAUGUGAGUUAAGGGAGGUAACUGGUGCUUGGGAAUGGGAGAGAGGCAGUAGGUAGGGGGGAAGGAAUAAAGUUUCAAUAUUAAGUUGCUCUCCACAUCUCAUGAAUACUCAGCUCGGAUGUACAUUGAGCACCAGUUUGUGUCCAAUCAGUACCUUGUGGUUUCUGCUGCGGGUUGUGCAGUUUCAGUCACAGGCUAAAUAAGGGAUGUGCUCAUUCAGCACAUUCCUCAGCUGGCCUAACCACUUCUCCUCACUGGCCAAGUGUCAACUCUACUUCUGGGACUAGAUGGUGCCUCCAGGCAGAAAGGACUUUGUGCUCCCUUGGACUGCUUCAAUUGUUCCAAACAGACUUUCUGUUGCACAGGGCCUUCUGCCAGGGUCUGUGCUGAGAAAAGUUGGCAUAGACCCCAGAGAGAAUCUGGUCCAGUGAAUACAAUUCAGUACUGAGAAGCAAGCAACAGAGAGAGGGAGGAAAAAUACACUAUAUAUGCUACAUACAGGGCACCCAUUUGUGUCAAACCAACUUGGGAGGGGGGGGAAGAAGGGCUGGUGUAGGGGAAAUUUAUUUCUUCUGUCCUUAAUACACUGCAUAAGCAUUCUUUAGUUCGGAAAAUGUUUGAUUUGUAUAUUGAAUUACUUGUGAAAAAAGCCAUGGCUUUAAAUUACAGAGAGUAGAGUUAUGGGAAGAAAACUAGGAUUUUAAUCUAACAAAUACCUUGAGAGGGUUUGCAGAAUCUUUGGUUCAUGGAAGUUCACUCAUCUCAUUUUACGUUGGAAGAAGUGAAAAACUAUAUUCAUUAUGAAUGCUGUGUGUGUGUAGUGGUACUGACAAUUCAUCCCCUGCAUUUAUGAAAUCUCCAUUUAAAAUCUUCACAGAAAUCUCAAACCAAGAGCAGAAUAUAUUACAGCCUAGCUCUAUACAAGUUUCUACAGUAGCUUCUGGUUGCUGCUGGCUCUUCACUUGUAAAUAGCUAUUAGCUUACUCACUGUUGUUAUUAUGAUUUGACAUUUGUGUAUUGCACCAUGGAAGCACAUGGCACUUUACAGAGAUAAUCUUCUAGGUUAUGAGAUAAAUGGUUUCUAAAGUUCUCCAGUCUAAUUUACUGCUACUUACUUUUCCGAUUAAAGAUCCAAAGAAUCAAAUGCUGCUUUGUUGUGUAGCCAUUCACAUAAGUGCUAAGUGGGUCUAAUGUGAUACCAGAUCAGAUUGGUAGCAUUUUAUACCCACUUUGUACAGGUGCAAAUGACAAUACAAAAUAUAAGACAAGCCUUUGCUCUUUCAGGUGUGAUAACAUUGUGUGAUCUGGCCAUUCCUAUUGCUGAGAAAAACAGUUUUUGUUUGGUUUGGGGUGAGAAUGUCACAUGGAGUUCCAUUUUCUGUCUGGAUUUUCGUUCAGCAUAAUCUUCAGCACAGCUAUUCCUGUUUUUAUCUCAGGUGGGUAUUUAUGACACAUCACACAGGAGUGCUUCAAAUGGCCAUCCAACAAAUCCAUCAACAAAACCAAACCAUCCAACCAAAAGCACAAUAACUGAUAGAUUCUUCAUAAGGUAUUUACUGAUUGCAUUGAGCAAUAGAAAGUGCACUACAGCUGAGGAGAGUAGGUUCAGUUGUUCCACAGAGUGGAUCUUCAACAAGCAGAGGUAUGGAAUUAAACAGUUACCUCUAUAAUACUCCUCAGACCCAAUGGAGAGUCCUUUGCACUGCCUGUGAUCCCCAUAUGUAGAGGGCAGGAGGUAGGAAUUGGAUAUGCUAGAUUAAUCCUAUUGACAAUUAAUGGGGUCCAUUUAAUACAGUUCAAGGCAUGCCUUGAGGAAGGGUUCUAGGGGUAGUGGAGGCCACAGGAAUCUGGCUCCAAAAAGUAACCAGAUGGGUAGCAUGGGGCUCCAGAGCUGUUGCAGAGACAGUGCUUUGUGGCUGACCCUGGCCCCUAGCCCAUCUCCUGGGACCUAAAUGGAUCUUAGAAAGGUGCAGAUUCUGGAGUCAGUAAACUCCUUCCUCUUAACUUCUGAGGGGCAAACUCUGCUGCCACAAUCAAAAAACCAGAAUCUCCCUGCAUCUAGUCCCUCCCACAACUUCUAUGGGAGGAGGGUGAUCUGGCCAAGUAUCACUAUUUUUUUUCUAAAAUAAUCUGGAUACCAAAAAUUGAGCAUAUAAAUUAAAAAUACCUGUAAGAAGCAAUAGAGAUCAGCUGGUGGCUUAGUGAAGCUGGGUGAGAGCAGUGUGGAUUAUACAGGUUUUCUUUUUCCAGUGGUGUGCCUUAAGCCUCUUGAGGUUAACUAAGCCCUCCUCUUACCAUUCUCCUUCCAGCAACCCUUUUCCCCUACCCUCCAGCCCUCUCCUGGCUCUCUGUACUCUCAGCCACCAGGAAAAAUUGGAAGCAAGUUCAUCAUAUUAGACUUGACACAGACUUAACAGCAGGUGGUGCUGGAUAGUAAAUGUAAAACACCAGGCCUGAAUUGGCUCCUGUACUCAUUUUACAUGAUAUUAUUCCAUUCAUUUCAACAGACUAACUCCUUAUUUACUCUCUUCUAAGAGACAUAAGAAUCAGACUCAGCAUAUUGCCAUUAAAGAGGUUAUCUCCCAGUAUAACCAGCUGGCAAGCCUAGCAGUGAUUUUUCAACACAUUAUGGACAAGAUACAGCAAAGGAUUAGAAGAGCAGUGGAGAGAAGCAGCAGAGAUGCACUUGAGCAACUUGGACUCAGUAUUUGACAGGUUGCAGGAUGAGAAGAUGUAGAAUUUACAGAUCUGAAGAUGAGAAGGUGAGAAUUUACUGAUCUGAUGCUGAAGGAAUGCAUUCAAUAACAGAAACUAUAGAGUUGUCACAGGUGUGGCAAAGGUGUGAAAGGCAGGAGUGCUGCACCCUGUGAACUGUCCUGCCUUCUUCUGUGUUAUGUUCUCUUUUCCAUCCUAUGUGUUUUUUUUUCUCCAGAGAUAGCAUGUUUUAAUGGACUGAGUACAGAGCUGAGACUAGAGUCAAGAGUUCCUGAAAACUAAUUCCAGCUCUGCCAUGACUUGUUAUGUGGAUAUGAUUUCCUGGACAUAAUUUUUGUUACAUACAUAUGUUUAAAGGGUGCUUUUAGAAAACUGUAAUUUUAAAAAAUUAUUUAAAAAAUAAAAUUUAAACUCUGUCUAUGUCAGUUUCUUUAUCUGUAAUACAGGAAUAAAAAUGCUUCAUUACUUCACAGGCAGGUUAUGAGGAUUAAUGCUCUAAUAAUAUUGUUAAAUUUUCUACACCACUUUGAAAGUGAAACUGGUAUAUAUAUGCUGAGUAUUAUUGUUAUUCUCCUUGCAUUUGGGGAUUCCUGUCUAAAAUUAUUAAAAAUGUUUAAUUUCUAGAAAUAAUGGGUAUGAAGACCAGCAUUUUCUGCAAAGUCCUAAAGGGUGACUGACUUACCACACCUUCAAUUUCCAGCCUUUUUCUUGAUCUUUAAAGUUAUACUACCAAAUGAUUUAGGCCAGUAAUUUAUGCCCCAUCCUUCAAGCUGCUCUGUGUAGGUGGACUCUUGUACUCAUAGUACAAUUUGCAAAG
Molecule: long non-coding RNA, 8640 nt
Organism: Dermochelys coriacea (leatherback sea turtle)
Lineage: Eukaryota; Metazoa; Chordata; Testudines; Dermochelyidae
Exons: 3
Source: RefSeq, a predicted model, not a curated record